GACGAACGCUGGCGGCGUGCUUAACACAUGCAAGUCGAACGGAAAGGCCCUGCUUUUGUGGGGUGCUCUAGUGGCGAACGGGUGAUUAACCCUUGAGUAACCUGCCCUUGACUUUGGGAUCACUUCAUGAAACUGGGGCUAAUACCUGAUAGGAGCUCCUGCUGCAUGGUGGGUGUUGUAAAGUUUCGUCGGUUGGGGAUGGACUCGCGGCUUAUCCGCUUGUUGGUGGGGUAGUGGCUUACCAAGGCGUUGACGGGUAGCCGGCCUGAGAGGGUGACCGGCCACAGUGGGACUGAGAUACGGCCAAGACUCAUACGGGAGGCAGAAGUGGGGAAGAGUGAACAAUGGGCGGAAGCCUGAUGCAGAAACGCCGAGUGCGGGAUGACGGCCUUCGGGUUGUAAACCGAUUGCGCCUGUGACGAAGAGUGAGUGACGGUAAUGUGUAAAGAAGCACCGGCUAACUACGUG
This 468-nucleotide ribosomal RNA is filed under the name uncultured bacterium. RNAcentral's name for it is "partial 16S ribosomal RNA". It matches the Rfam family "Bacterial small subunit ribosomal RNA", at positions 28 to 507 of the family's 1533-position model. The record is from RNAcentral.